This 324-nucleotide ribosomal RNA is filed under the name Trinematidae sp. Its description in RNAcentral is "SSU rRNA". The stretch from base 108 to 324 matches the Rfam family "Eukaryotic small subunit ribosomal RNA", at positions 737 to 955 of the family's 1831-position model. Lineage: Eukaryota; Cercozoa; Imbricatea; Euglyphida; Trinematidae. The record is from RNAcentral.
GAUUUCUGACAGACCGUUGCGGCCCGUGCUCUUCUAGGGCGUGUGUGCCGUGUCGUGUUUGUCAUCCUUCCAGAGAGCUGCGUCUACCAUUCAUUUGGCCGGACGUACGCGAUCUGGAUCGAUUACUUUGAAAAAAUUAGAGUGUUUCAAGCAGGCUAUUGCUAUGAAUACAUUAGCAUGGAAUAAUAAUUUAGGACUUCGGUUCUAUUUUGUUGGUUUCUAGGACUGAAGUAAUGAUUGAUAGGGAUAGUUGGGGGUGCUAGUAUUCAGCGGCCAGAGGUGAAAUUCUUGGAUUCGCUGAAGACUAACUUAUGCGAAAGCAUU